AAGUCGUAACAAGGUUUCCGUAGGUGAACCUGCGGAAGGAUCAUUAACACAUUGUCCAUUUGAUGAUAGUGAUGUAAGAAUUUUUUUUAUAGAGUUUUUUUAACUCUUUAAUUUCUUCGUCCUAUCAUUCAAACCAAAUAGCGAAUGAGUUGAAGUCCUCAUUAUUAAUUAACUUUUAAUAAUUAGUGGAAUAAAACUAAAAUGUAAUCACGUUUAAUGAAUUUCUUUACCGAGAUUUCAUUCGACUAAAUGUUUACAAAAAAAAAACAAUAAUAUAACCAAGACAACUUGUAACAGUGGAUACCUUGGUUCCCAG
RNAcentral lists this unclassified non-coding RNA (316 nucleotides) under fungal sp. Its description in RNAcentral is "partial internal transcribed spacer region". The stretch from base 1 to 46 matches the Rfam family "Eukaryotic small subunit ribosomal RNA", at positions 1786 to 1831 of the family's 1831-position model. Lineage: Eukaryota; Fungi. The record is from RNAcentral.